Benincasa hispida (wax gourd) is the source of this 780-nucleotide long non-coding RNA. RefSeq lists it as uncharacterized. The record is from RefSeq and is a predicted model, not a curated record. NCBI's taxonomy places the organism in Eukaryota, Viridiplantae, Streptophyta, Magnoliopsida, Cucurbitales, Cucurbitaceae.
CCCUUUUGUGCUUUACAAAUCUAUUUAUUUAGCAUUGAGAGCUCCCUUUUAUAGAUAUCUAAGGAGAUCAGAUUACAUGAAAUGUAAAACAAGAAACUGUUAUUUGAAAGAAAAAACAAAUAGUUGUUGGAUUUACUUUCUUCAACUUUCCACCUUAAAUUCAACUUUAUAUUUUCUUCAAGUGUCUUCUAUAUCUGAAAAAUUUUAUCCUUAUUCAAGUAGAUCGAAUCCUAUCAACUCGAGGUACUUGUGGAGCUUCAACUUCGACAUUGGUUUUGUGAGCAUGUCCACUGGGUUGUCAGAGGAAAUUGAGCAAUUGGAUGAGAACAAGCAAUUUUGGAAUGCUGCACGCAAUGCUGCACGCUACGAUUAGUAAUGUUGAAAUUAUUGUCAGCGUUGCAACACUAUGUUAGAGCAUUACAAUGCUGCGACUGCUGUCUAUAUAAGUAGUUUCUGGCCUAUUUUAUUCGAGGAGGCACUUUUAGGGCUAUUUUGAGAGCGUAAAGAAAUAUUUUGGUGAGGCCUCCCUAGGGAGUGUAAUUCUAUACCGAGGUGGCAUCUCGGAGCUUCAAAGGAUUGAAAAUUUGAAUAGUUUGUUGGGUUGUGAUUCCGGAUUCGAGGGCAAGAGUCAAGAACACGGCUUGCAAUUUCUUUGCUCUUUUAUUUUCUGUCCUUUGUGUGUGGAAAUCUCAUGAAUGGUCUAUGUUUGUGUUGUAACCCUAAGUGACUAAUUUGUGUUUCUAGGGUGGUGAUUUAGUUUGAUGGAUUGCAAAAACUGAA